CAGCCGCCGCGGUAAUACGUAGGUGGCAAGCGUUGUCCGGAAUUAUUGGGCGUAAAGGGCUCGCAGGCGGUUUCUUAAGUCUGAUGUGAAAGCCCCCGGCUCAACCGGGGAGGGUCAUUGGAAACUGGGAAACUUGAGUGCAGAAGAGGAGAGUGGAAUUCCACGUGUAGCGGUGAAAUGCGUAGAGAUGUGGAGGAACACCAGUGGCUAAGGCGACUCUCUGGUCCGGAACUGACGCUGAGGCACGACAGCGUGGGGAGCAAACAGGAUUAGAUACCCCAGUAGUCCCUGUCUCUUAUAC
This 301-nucleotide ribosomal RNA is filed under the name uncultured bacterium. Its description in RNAcentral is "partial 16S ribosomal RNA". It matches the Rfam family "Bacterial small subunit ribosomal RNA", at positions 509 to 807 of the family's 1533-position model. The record is from RNAcentral.